Molecule: ribosomal RNA, 862 nt
Filed under: uncultured bacterium
Lineage: Bacteria
Description: bacterial SSU rRNA
Rfam family: Bacterial small subunit ribosomal RNA
Source: RNAcentral
CCCCCGANCAGCCGUGUACUCCGAAUGCCUUAGAUUAAAGUUUGAUCAUGGCUCAGNACUUGAGCGNCUAGCGGCAGGCCUAACACAUGCAAGUCGAACGGUAAUAGUGAAGCAGCUUGCUGCUUCGCUGACGAGUGGCGGACGGGUGAGUAAUGUCUGGGAAACUGCCUGAUGGAGGGGGAUAACUACUGGAAACGGUAGCUAAUACCGCAUAACGUCGCAAGACCAAAGAGGGGGACCUUCGGGCCUCUUGCCAUCGGAUGUGCCCAGAUGGGAUUAGCUAGUAGGUGGGGUAACGGCUCACCUAGGCGACGAUCCCUAGCUGGUCUGAGAGGAUGACCAGCCACACUGGAACUGAGACACGGUCCAGACUCCUACGGGAGGCAGCAGUGGGGAAUAUUGCACAAUGGGCGCAAGCCUGAUGCAGCCAUGCCGCGUGUAUGAAGAAGGCCUUCGGGUUGUAAAGUACUUUCAGCGGGGAGGAAGGCGAUAAGGUUAAUAACCUUGUCGAUUGACGUUACCCGCAGAAGAAGCACCGGCUAACUCCGUGCCAGCAGCCGCGGUAAUACGGAGGGUGCAAGCGUUAAUCGGAAUUACUGGGCGUAAAGCGCGCGUAGUGGUUUGUUAAGUUGGAUGUGAAACUACCCCCGCGGGCGUCCAAAACCUGGGGGGAAACUCUGGCGUUUUCCGAAANUUGGGCAGGCCUAAGAAGUCCUUUGGUCAGCAGGGGGGGGNCACGAAAUUCCCACGGGCUGGUAGCCGGGUGAAAAUGGCGUUAAAGAUCCCGCGAGGGAAACCCCGGUGGCGCAAAGCGGGGCCCCCUGAAAAAACNAGACCUCCAGGNGCNACUUGGGACACGAUU